Molecule: long non-coding RNA, 602 nt
Organism: Apis cerana (Asiatic honeybee)
Lineage: Eukaryota; Metazoa; Arthropoda; Insecta; Hymenoptera; Apidae
Source: RefSeq, a predicted model, not a curated record
GCGUGAGGUUAGUGUCCUUCACGAACAAGAGGAACAUCUAUUCCACCAUGUGAAAUUCUAUUUUAGCGAGUUUCAAGAGAAUCUCGUAAGUUUACGCGAUGAAGUGUAUACGUAAAGUGAACUACGCUUGAUGAAUGAUCGACAUUUAAUACUGAAGCGUGUUCAAUAUUUUGCUUCUAUCGACAAUAGAAUUGCGGUCUCUUUCAAUCUCGAGUUGUUAACAAAUCCGAGGGCGGUAAGACAUCAACAGUGAAAUCAGUGAAUUCGGACAAACGACGUUUAACGUGCCACAACGUGGAGGCGUCGAUUCUUAACAAGAUAUAUUACGAGUCUCGGCAAUCGCAAUUAUGCUAUUACAAAAUAUUCAUAGAUUUAAGCAAAAAUUUCUUUCAUUUUCGUAGCUUAAUAUAAAUCUUUAUUAGUUUAUUUGUAAAAUAUAAUAGUCAUUAUUAAAGUCUUACUUAGAUCGUCUGGUUUACAAGAACCAACUUGGAUAUACGAUGAAACGUGAAAGAAUUAUCGCUUCGAAGUUGAUGUGAAGUGAUUUCACUUAUAUCUCUUAAUAAUCUAGAAAAAUUUAAUGUUUAAAAAUGAGAAUAAAG